RNAcentral lists this ribosomal RNA (510 nucleotides) under uncultured bacterium. Its description in RNAcentral is "partial 16S ribosomal RNA". It matches the Rfam family "Bacterial small subunit ribosomal RNA", at positions 28 to 507 of the family's 1533-position model. The record is from RNAcentral.
GACGAACGCUGGCGGCGUGCUUAACACAUGCAAGUCGAACGAAGAGCGACGGAAGCUUGCUUCUAUCAAUCUUAGUGGCGAACGGGUGAGUAACGCGUAAUCAACCUGCCCUUCAGAGGGGGACAACAGUUGGAAACGACUGCUAAUACCGCAUACGAUCUAACCUCGGCAUCGAGGAUAGAUGAAAGGUGGCCUCUACAUGUAAGCUAUCACUGAAGGAGGGGAUUGCGUCUGAUUAGCUAGUUGGAGGGGUAACGGCCCACCAAGGCGAUGAUCAGUAGCCGGUCUGAGAGGAUGAACGGCCACAUUGGGACUGAGACACGGCCCAGACUCCUACGGGAGGCAGCAGCGGGGAAUCUUCCGCAAUGGACGAAAGUCUGACGGAGCAACGCCGCGUGAGUGAUGACGGCCUUCGGGUUGUAAAGCUCUGUUAAUCGGGACGAAAGGCCUUCUUGCGAAUAGUGAGAAGGAUUGACGGUACCGGAAUAGAAAGCCACGGCUAACUACGUG